UCCCUAGUGGCUCAGAUGGUAAAGCAUCUGCCUACAAUGUGGGAGACCCGGGUUCAAUUCCUGGGUCAGGAA
Molecule: transfer RNA, 72 nt
Filed under: Ovis aries (sheep)
Lineage: Eukaryota; Metazoa; Chordata; Mammalia; Artiodactyla; Bovidae
Rfam family: tRNA
About the family: Transfer RNA (tRNA) molecules are approximately 80 nucleotides in length. Their secondary structure includes four short double-helical elements and three loops (D, anti-codon, and T loops).
Source: Rfam by way of RNAcentral